This 231-nucleotide ribosomal RNA is filed under the name Parascutigera nubila. RNAcentral describes it as "partial 12S ribosomal RNA". Lineage: Eukaryota; Metazoa; Arthropoda; Chilopoda; Scutigeromorpha; Scutigeridae. The record is from RNAcentral.
GGAGGAACCUGUCCUGUAAUCGAUAAUCCCCGUAAAUUUAACCUGAGUUUGUAAUAUCAACUUGUAUAUCGCUGUCGUAAGAUUAUUUUUUGAGAAAUUUUUCAAUAAUAAAUUUUUAUUUAUGUCAAGUCAAGGUGCAGUAAAUAUUCAGGGAUGAGAUGGGUUACAAUAUAGGAAUAUAUACGGAGAUAUUUUUGUAAUGAGUAUUGAAGGUGGAUUUAAUUGUAAUAU